This 413-nucleotide ribosomal RNA is filed under the name Rhygoplitis terminalis. RNAcentral's name for it is "partial 16S large subunit ribosomal RNA". Lineage: Eukaryota; Metazoa; Arthropoda; Insecta; Hymenoptera; Braconidae. The record is from RNAcentral. RNAcentral also lists the same sequence under 1 other name.
GUUUUAUUGAUUUCAAUUAUAAGUCAAAUCUGCUCAAUGAAAUAAUUUUUAAAUAGCUGCAGUAUAAAUAACUGUACAAAGGUAGCAUAAUAAUUAGUUUUUUAAUUGAAAACUAGAAUGAAUGAUUUAAUGAAAUAUAAACUGUUUCAAAUUUAAAAAAUUAAUUUAUUUUUUAAAUAAAAAAAUUUAAAUUUUUAAUAAAGACGAGAAGACCCUAAAGAAUUUAUAUAAAAUUAUACUAUUAUAAUUAUUAUAAUUAUAUUUUAAUUGGGGAAAUUUUAAAAUUUUACUAAUUUUUAAUUAAAAUAAACAAUUAUUUUUGAAUAAAUAUUUUUUUUUAAAAAAUAAAUUAAAUUACCUUAGGGAUAACAGCAUAAUUUUUUUUUUAAGUUCUAAUUUAUAAAAAAGUUUAU